This 698-nucleotide ribosomal RNA is filed under the name uncultured bacterium. RNAcentral's name for it is "bacterial SSU rRNA". It matches the Rfam family "Bacterial small subunit ribosomal RNA", at positions 8 to 691 of the family's 1533-position model. The record is from RNAcentral.
AGAGUUUGAUCCUGGCUCAGGACGAACGCUGGCGGCAUGCCUAAUACAUGCAAGUCGAACGCUGAAACACUCUGCUUGCAGAGUGUGGAUGAGUGGCGAACGGGUGAGUAACACGUGGGGAAUCUGCCUAUAAGUGGGGGAUAACAUUCGGAAACGGAUGCUAAUACCGCAUAUAUUCAAAAACCGCAUGGUUCCUGAAAGAAAGACGGCUUUGCUGUCGCUUAUAGAUGAUCCCGCGGCGUAUUAGUUAGUUGGUGGGGUAAUGGCCUACCAAGACCAUGAUACGUAGCCGACCUGAGAGGGUGAUCGGCCACACUGGGACUGAGACACGGCCCAGACUCCUACGGGAGGCAGCAGUAGGGAAUCUUCCACAAUGGGUGCAAACCUGAUGGAGCAAUGCCGCGUGAAUGAAGAAGGUCUUCGGAUCGUAAAGUUCUGUUAUUAGAGAAGAACAAGUCAAGGAGUAACUGUCUUGACUUUGACGGUACCUAACCAGAAAGUCACGGCUAACUACGUGCCAGCAGCCGCGGUAAUACGUAGGUGACAAGCGUUGUCCGGAAUUAUUGGGCGUAAAGGGAGCGCAGGCGGUUGGAAUAGUCUGAUGUGAAAGCCCACGGCUUAACCGUGGAAGGUCAUUGGAAACUGUCCAACUUGAAUGCAGAAAGGUAAGUGGAAUUCCUGUGUAGCGGUGAAUGCGU